Molecule: ribosomal RNA, 505 nt
Filed under: uncultured bacterium
Lineage: Bacteria
Description: bacterial SSU rRNA
Rfam family: Bacterial small subunit ribosomal RNA
Source: RNAcentral
CUGGCUCAGGAUGAACGCUAGCGGCAGGCUUAACACAUGCAAGUCGAGGGGCAGCGCUGAGUAGCAAUACUCUGGCGGCGACCGGCGAAAGGGUGAGUAACGCGUGAGCAACAUGCCCGAUAGUGGAGGAUAGUCGAUGGAAACGUCGUGUAAUACUCCGUAACAUACGGGACCGCAUGAUUCUGUAUUAAUAGAUUUAUGCUAUCGGAUUGGCUCGCGUACCAUUAGCUAGUUGGCGGGGUAACGGCCCACCAAGGCGACGAUGGUUAGGGGUUCUGAGAGGAAGGUCCCCCACAUUGGAACUGAGACACGGUCCAGACUCCUACGGGAGGCAGCAGUGAGGAAUAUUGGACAAUGGCCGGAAGGCUGAUCCAGCCAUGCCGCGUGCCGGGAAGACGGCCCUAUGGGUUGUAAACCGCUUUUGUUGGGGAGCAAUAAGGUCCACGUGUGGAUUGAUGAGAGUACCCAGCGAAUAAGCAUCGGCUAACUCCGUGCCAGCCGCAGC